AACCAGCACCUCAAGUGGUCAGGAGAAUUAUUGGGCUUAAAGCAUCCGUAGCCGGCUCUGUAAGUUUUUGGUUAAAUCUAUGCGCUCAACGCAUAGGCCGCCGAAAAUACUGUAGAGCUAGGGAGUGGGAGAGGUAGACGGUGCUCGGUAGGAAGGGGUAAAAUCUUUUGAUCUAUCGAUGACCACCUGUGGCGAAGGCGGUCUACCAGAACACGUUCGACGGUGAGGGAUGAAAGCUGGGGGAGCAAACCGG
This 253-nucleotide ribosomal RNA is filed under the name uncultured archaeon. RNAcentral's name for it is "partial 16S ribosomal RNA". It matches the Rfam family "Archaeal small subunit ribosomal RNA", at positions 474 to 727 of the family's 1478-position model. The record is from RNAcentral.